Molecule: ribosomal RNA, 254 nt
Filed under: uncultured Alphaproteobacteria bacterium
Lineage: Bacteria; Pseudomonadati; Pseudomonadota; Alphaproteobacteria
Description: partial 16S ribosomal RNA
Rfam family: Bacterial small subunit ribosomal RNA
Source: RNAcentral
UACGAAGGGGGCUAGCGUUGUUCGGAUUUACUGGGCGUAAAGCGCGCGCAGGCGGCCAUUCAAGUCAGGGGUGAAAGCCCAGAGCUUAACUCUGGAACUGCCUUUGAGACUGUCUGGCUUCGAGUACGGGAGAGGUGAGUGGAAUUCCCAGUGUAGAGGUGAAAUUCGUAGAUAUUGGGAAGAACACCAGUGGCGAAGGCGGCUCACUGGCCCGUUACUGACGCUCAGGCGCGACAGCGUGGGGAUCAAACAGG